RNAcentral lists this long non-coding RNA (1307 nucleotides) under Sus scrofa (pig). RNAcentral's name for it is "lncRNA (ENSSSCG00005002715.1)". Lineage: Eukaryota; Metazoa; Chordata; Mammalia; Artiodactyla; Suidae. The record is from RNAcentral.
UGGAGCCCGAACUCAAGAAAUCACCAAGUUCGGUCUGACCCUGACGUCUUCUCAGCAGUUUCUGAGUUCACCGUUUCUGCCCAGAUGGGAAACAACUGGAAGGCAUCUGGUAAGUUGGGUGGGGCUCCCUACAUUGACUGGUUUAUAAAACCAAACAACAUGCAUUUCAGGUUCCAAUCUGUGGCUUCUGGUUUGAAGCCACAAAUCUUCAAGUUCUAAAGCAGUGGCUCUUAAGCAGGAGUUAUGAGUGUCUAGAGUCAUUUGGGCUGGAUGGGUGGAGGUCAUGGAUGCUGCUAUAAACAUCCUACAAUAGACAGGACAUCCCUUCACAACAAAGAGUUACCCAGCCAAAAAUGUUAGUGGUGCUGAGGCUGAGAAACCCUGUCCUAAAGAAAAGCAGAAUGGUGUCCUGCCCCCUCCUGAUCAAGCUUUCUAACUGCAAGUCCUGAGGACCUCACCUGUGUCUCCAAACAUGCCUGCUCUGGUCUCCAGACCCAUCCCUGUCAAACACGUGACGGUGGCUGGGCUCUCAGCUCCAUUUUGGAGGGAACUGUAGGUCAGUGUUCUGUCUGGACUCCCAGAGCCUGCGACGUUUUGGUUUACCAGAAUGACCCUUUGCUUUGUUUGACUUGAAGCAAGAAGUACCAUGAGCACCUUCACCUGAAAUAGGUCCACACUUAACAUCAUCUGGUUCUUCUCUCAACAUGGUCCAGGUUAACUGCUCCUGUUAGUUUAAAAAGCCUGCAAAAAAAAAAAAAAAAAAUGGAGUUCCCGUCGUGGUGCAGUGGUUAACGAAUCCAACUAGGAACCAUGAGGUUGCGGGUUCACUCCCUGCCCUUGCUCAGUGGGUUAACGAUCCGGCGUUGCCGUGAGCUGUGGUGUAGAUUGCAGACGCGGCUCGGAUCCCGAGUUGCUGUGGCUCUGGCGUAGGCUGGUGGCUACAGCUCCGAUUCAACCCCUGGCCUGGGAACCUCCAUAUGCCGCGGGAGCAGCCCAAGAAAUAGCAACAACAACAACAAAAAAGACAAAAAGACAAAAAAAAAAAAAAAAAAAGCCUGCAGAAUUUUAUUUCGGUAAUUGAUAAUUAGUAUUGGUGUGAAUGUCUAAGGACUUCCUUCUGCUCACGUGAUCUGCCCCAGUGGUUCUCCACAGGGGACAAUUCUGCCCACAGAAGACCUUUGUCUAGCCACGUGUUUGGUUGUCACAGCUGGCAGGGAGGAAGGGGACGGGGAUAUGGUAGUGCCAUCUAGUGGCUAAAGGCCACGUUGCUGCUGAACACCCUAGAAGGCACAGGACGGCCCCCACAA